RNAcentral lists this ribosomal RNA (491 nucleotides) under uncultured bacterium. Its description in RNAcentral is "partial 16S ribosomal RNA". It matches the Rfam family "Bacterial small subunit ribosomal RNA", at positions 28 to 507 of the family's 1533-position model. The record is from RNAcentral.
GAUGAACGCUGGCUACAGGCUUAACACAUGCAAGUCGAGGGGAAACGACGGGGAAGCUUGCUUCCCCGGGCGUCGACCGGCGCACGGGUGAGUAACGCGUAUCCAACCUGCCUCUGACUGAGGGAUAACCCGUCGAAAGUCGGCCUAAUACCUCAUGGCAUCGUCUGCGGGCAUCCAACGACGAUUAAAGAUUUCAUCGGUCAGGGAUGGGGAUGCGUCUGAUUAGCUUGUUGGCGGGGUAACGGCCCACCAAGGCUACGAUCAGUAGGGGUUCUGAGAGGAAGGUCCCCCACAUUGGAACUGAGACACGGUCCAAACUCCUACGGGAGGCAGCAGUGAGGAAUAUUGGUCAAUGGGCGGGAGCCUGAACCAGCCAAGUAGAGUGCAGGAUGACGGCCCUAUGGGUUGUAAACUGCUUUUAUGCGGGGAUAAAGUGAGGGACGUGUCCUUCAUUGCAGGUACCGCAUGAAUAAGGACCGGCUAAUUCCGUG